GAUGAACGCUAGCGGCAGGCUUAACACAUGCAAGUCGAGGGGCAGCACGAUGUAGCAAUACAUUGGUGGCGACCGGCGCACGGUUGCGUAACACGUAUGGAAUCUGCCCUUUACUGGAGGAUAGCCCGGAGAAAUCCGGAUUAAUACUCCAUAACUGUCGAGGUGGCAUCACCUUGAUCUGAAAGCUCCGGCGGUAAAGGAUGACCAUGCGCACGAUUAGCUAGUUGGUGAGGUAAUGGCUCACCAAGGCUACGAUCGUUAGGGGCCUGAGAGGGUUA
This 278-nucleotide ribosomal RNA is filed under the name uncultured bacterium. RNAcentral describes it as "partial 16S ribosomal RNA". It matches the Rfam family "Bacterial small subunit ribosomal RNA", at positions 28 to 303 of the family's 1533-position model. The record is from RNAcentral.